CCUUUUCCCCCUCCAUAUUACUUUCGUUCUCACAACUGUCUGCGCUUUCUCUUGCAUAUUUACUUUAACUCCCAGUCUUACUCAACUUUCUUACAAUUCUCUAUCUAACUUUCACUUUCUCCUCCCUAGCUCAAAACAUCGCUGGUUUAAUAGCAUAUAGAUUUGAUAAUUUCAAUUACGCUUGAGAGAGAGAGAACAUAUAGAACCUGGAGAAACCACUUCAGGUUUGAACGCGGCCGAUUUCUUUCGGAGAACAAACACAUAAAAAUACAACAAUGAACGUAUUUUAUACCAUUAUAUUCCAUUCAAAUCGAUCCUGUACUUGAUUGGAACUUUUAUCCGGGAGGAUGAACUCAAAGCAUUCUGCAAUUUAUCCAAACACUCUAACGAUUCUACCAAUACAACUCAAAAAUACAACAGCAUGUGAUUUUGUAUGCCUAAACCAGAGAGUAUACGAUUCGAAUAUGCUAGGCCUGGCGACAGUGAAUGGAGACUCGAAACUGCGAUAGUUCGAGUGAGGCACCGUCACCACUAUUGCUAUAAUCUUCGCUUAUUUGAUCCUGCAUGAAUCAAAUUUCUAAUUUUGUUUCUUGUAACGACAGAAAUAUUGUUUCCAGUUGAAUCAUAUUGAAUCAUUAUUCUGUUAAAUGUAAUAAGCAGAGGUCACCCGAUGUGACGGUAUAAUUGUGAUUGGUAAGAAUUUGGGAUAAAGGUUGCAUGUGGGAAGUUGAGAAGGCUGAUCGCAAAAACAAAAAAAGGUGCAUGUUGCAUUGUCAUUACCAGGCACAUUGAAAGAAAUUGACGCAAGAUGAUUUUACUCAACUGUAACUGUUAUGACAUUUAUCACAACUGCUACGAAUUAAAAAUAAAUACAAAUGUUAGAAUGUUUUGA
Molecule: long non-coding RNA, 892 nt
Organism: Octopus sinensis (East Asian common octopus)
Lineage: Eukaryota; Metazoa; Mollusca; Cephalopoda; Octopoda; Octopodidae
Exons: 2
Source: RefSeq, a predicted model, not a curated record